AGAGUUUGAUCCUGGCUCAGGACGAACGCUGGCGGCGUGCCUAACACAUGCAAGUCGAGCGGAGAUAUAUGGAGCUUGCUUUAUAUAACUUAGCAGCGAACGGGUGAGUAACACGUAGAUAAUCUAUCCUAUACUGGGGGAUAGCCCGAUGAAAGUUGGAUUAAUACCGCAUAUAGCUAUAUAGUUGCAUGAUUAUGUAGUGAAAGAUUUAUUGGUAUAGGAGGAGUCUGCGGCACAUUAGCUAGUAGGUGAGGUAAAGGCUUACCUAGGCGACGAUGUGUAGCCGGUCUGAGAGGAUGAACGGCCACAAUGGAACUGAGACACGGUCCAUACUCCUACGGGAGGCAGCAGUGGGGAAUAUUGCACAAUGGGGGAAACCCUGAUGCAGCAACGCCGCGUGAGUGAAGAAGGUUUUCGGAUUGUAAAGCUCUGUUAGCAGGGAAGAGGAAGGACGGUACCUGCAGAGGAAGCCACGGCUAACUACGUGCCAGCAGCCGCGGU
Molecule: ribosomal RNA, 501 nt
Filed under: uncultured bacterium
Lineage: Bacteria
Description: bacterial SSU rRNA
Rfam family: Bacterial small subunit ribosomal RNA
Source: RNAcentral